UACGUAGGGGGCGAGCGUUGUCCGGAUUUAUUGGGCGUAAAGAGCUCGUAGGCGGUUCGAUAAGUCGGAUGUGAAAUCUCCACGCUCAACGUGGAGGGGCCAUUCGAUACUGUCGUGACUCGAGUCCGGUAGGGGAGUGUGGAAUUCCCGGUGUAGCGGUGAAAUGCGCAGAGAUCGGGAGGAACACCAGUGGCGAAGGCGGCAUCCUGGCCAUGUACUGACGCUCAGGGGCGAAAGCGUGGGGAGCAAACCGG
This 254-nucleotide ribosomal RNA is filed under the name uncultured bacterium. RNAcentral describes it as "partial 16S ribosomal RNA". It matches the Rfam family "Bacterial small subunit ribosomal RNA", at positions 524 to 776 of the family's 1533-position model. The record is from RNAcentral.